RNAcentral lists this long non-coding RNA (444 nucleotides) under Elaeis guineensis (African oil palm). RNAcentral's name for it is "long non-coding RNA (EGUI_LNC012154)". The record is from RNAcentral. Lineage: Eukaryota; Viridiplantae; Streptophyta; Magnoliopsida; Arecales; Arecaceae.
GCAAAGUUGUAUAUUUGAGUAGAUAUGGAGCUCUCUAGAAGAAAUUAACUUUCAGUUGUUUCUUUAGUCUUCAAGAUAUGAUAUAACUAUUUUUAUAUAUUUUUUGUAAUCUCCAUUUUAUAUAUUGCUCAUAUUAAUAAAGGACUGAUGGCUAUUUUCCCAACCUCCUUCAACCAUCAAAAAAAGAUAGGACGAAAAGACGAGGCUUGUUUUAGCUACUAGUUACGCAUGGGAGAUGGCAAGGGCUAGGUGCAGCUCUUAGAAAUUUGGAUUGUGAGAAGGAUUCGGGUUAUAUCUAUUGUACGAAAGAAUGAUUGAUCUUUUUUUGUGACAUCAAUUAUUAGGUUGCAUUGCAUGGAUUUUAAAGUACUCUAAUCUCUUUCUUUCAUCUGCUUGCAUAACUCUUAAAGUGGAUAUUGUGCAAUGCAAUGGUUGGUGUUGCAA